UCAACACCUCUGUUGUGGUUCA
RNAcentral lists this non-coding RNA (22 nucleotides) under Arabidopsis thaliana (thale cress). Lineage: Eukaryota; Viridiplantae; Streptophyta; Magnoliopsida; Brassicales; Brassicaceae. The record is from RNAcentral.